CCCUUAGAUGUCCUGGGCCGCACGCGCGCUACACUGAUGCAUUCAACGAGUCUACCUUGGCCGAGAGGCCUGGGCAACCUUUUAAACGUGCAUCGUGGUAGGGAUAGAUUAUUGCAAUUAUUAAUCUUGAACGAGGAAUUCCUAGUAAACGCAAAUCAUCAAUUUGCAUUGAUUACGUCCCUGCACUUUGUACACACCGCCCGUCGCACCUACCGAUUGAAUGGUCCGGUGAGGACUCGGGAUUUUUACCAGUUUCCUUCAUUGGGAAUUGGUGAGGAGAACUUGUCCAAACCUUAUCAUUUAGAGGAAGGUGAAGUCGUAACA
This 324-nucleotide ribosomal RNA is filed under the name uncultured eukaryote. Its description in RNAcentral is "partial 18S ribosomal RNA". It matches the Rfam family "Eukaryotic small subunit ribosomal RNA", at positions 1470 to 1796 of the family's 1831-position model. The record is from RNAcentral.